RNAcentral lists this ribosomal RNA (429 nucleotides) under Actinomycetes bacterium. Its description in RNAcentral is "Actinobacteria bacterium partial 16S ribosomal RNA". It matches the Rfam family "Bacterial small subunit ribosomal RNA", at positions 355 to 776 of the family's 1533-position model. The record is from RNAcentral. Lineage: Bacteria; Bacillati; Actinomycetota; Actinomycetes.
UAGGGAAUCUUCCGCAAUGGGCGAAAGCCUGACGGAGCAACGCCGCGUGAGUGAUGAAGGUCUUCGGAUCGUAAAACUCUGUUAUUAGGGAAGAACAAAUGUGUAAGUAACUAUGCACGUCUUGACGGUACCUAAUCAGAAAGCCACGGCUAACUACGUUCCAGCAGCCGCGGUAAUACGUAGGUGGCAAGCGUUAUCCGGAAUUAUUGGGCGUAAAGCGUGCGUAGGCGGUUUUUUAAGUCUGAUGUGAAAGCCCACGGCUCAACCGGGGAGGGUCAUUGGAAACUGGAAAACUUGAGUGCAGAAGAGGAAAGUGGAAUUCCAUGUGUAGCGGUGAAAUGCGCAGAGAUAUGGAGGAACACCAGUGGCGAAGGCGACUUUCUGGUCUGUAACUGACGCUGAUGUGCGAAAGCGUGGGGAUCAAACAGG